AGAAAUGAGAAAAAUACACUUGGUAAGAUUUGGAUUUUUGCAGUCUAGUGUGAAUUUUGUUAAACAGAUCCCACAUAUAAAGUAUUUAGCUUCUUAUUGGAAACAGGAAAAGGAGAAGUGCAAUUUAACCAGCGCGUCGGUCUCCGGGGGCUCAUUAGAACAAAUCUCCUCCUGGCUAAAUUAUUUAUGUCUGGGGUCUUUAGGAUGGCAAUAUUUGCUUGUAAUAUGUGUUGAUUUUUCUGUAUGUGUGUGUUCAAGUAUGCGUUCAUACCACUCCUGGAGUUCAUGUGUUGGUAGUGGCUACAAUGGGGGACAUUUAGACUCUGCUAUAACUGUGCCAGAGGCCGUUUUGCCUGCAUUUAUAAACCUGUUUUCACUGAAAUUUUCAAGCCUAGCCUCUACUGAAGACUGACUGCAAACACAAGAGGCAUGUGUGCUGAAUAGUGAAGAUGUUUUAACACGAAAUACCUUCAUUAACUGAUACUAGAGGAAGCGUUUUAAUUUUGCUUUUGUUUUUUCCAAUAACUCGUUGCACUAUGUCUGCAUGGUAACGUGUUUUAAUGCAGGGAUAUGAGUGACAAGUGGCACAUAUACAGUAUGAAUGUGUUGUCAGAGUGAGCAGCUAUUUGAAUGAGUUAAUACAGAUGAUGAUGAUGUGUUUUUCUACAUGUUUUUGCACACUUAUGAGUGAUCACGUACUGACUUUGUGUGCGAGUUUAUUUCUUAAUUCUCAUUUUAGUAUUGUUCACUUUCAGAGGAAAGGAGUGUGUUGUGUAUUAAUAAUAACAAAUAACAAAAUAAAGCUUGACAGAAACCGU
Sphaeramia orbicularis (orbiculate cardinalfish) is the source of this 818-nucleotide long non-coding RNA. RefSeq lists it as uncharacterized. Lineage: Eukaryota; Metazoa; Chordata; Actinopteri; Kurtiformes; Apogonidae. The record is from RefSeq and is a predicted model, not a curated record. The transcript is spliced from 2 exons.